AGGAUGAACGCUGGCGGCGUGCCUAACACAUGCAAGUCGAACGUCCUGUCUCGCAAGAGGCAGGGAGUGGCGGACGGGUGAGUACCACGUGGGUCAUCUACCGUGAGGUGAGGAAUACCGGCGAGAAAUCGCCGACAAGACCGCAUAGGCUCGAUGCAAGUCGAGCAAAGCUCUUUCGAGAGAGGGAGCGCCACACGAGGAGCCUGCGCCCGAUUAGCUAGCUGGUGGAGUAAUGGUUCACCAGGGCGACGAUCGGUAGCUGGUCUGAGAGGACGAUCAGCCACACUGGGAUUGAGAACGGCCCAGACUCCUACGGGGGGCAGCAGUGAGGAAUUUUCGUCAAUGGGGGCAACCCUGAACGAGCAACGCCGCGUGCAGGAAGAAGGUUUUCGGAUCGUAAACUGCUUUUCUCGGGGAAGAGAACGGACGGUACCCGAGGAAUCGAGCCCCGGCUAACUACGCGCCAGCAGCCGCGGU
RNAcentral lists this ribosomal RNA (477 nucleotides) under uncultured bacterium. RNAcentral describes it as "SSU rRNA". It matches the Rfam family "Bacterial small subunit ribosomal RNA", at positions 26 to 521 of the family's 1533-position model. The record is from RNAcentral.